This 339-nucleotide unclassified non-coding RNA is filed under the name soil metagenome. RNAcentral's name for it is "partial contains 5.8S ribosomal RNA, internal transcribed spacer 2, and large subunit ribosomal RNA". The stretch from base 1 to 120 matches the Rfam family "5.8S ribosomal RNA", at positions 35 to 154 of the family's 154-position model. The record is from RNAcentral.
GAUGAAGAACGUAGCUAAAUGCGAUAACUAAUGUGAAUUGCAGAAUUCAGUGAAUCAUCGAGUCUUUGAACGCACAUUGCGCCCCCUGGUAUUCCGGGGGGCAUGCCUGUCCGAGCGUCAUUGCUGCCCUCAAGCACGGCUUGUGUGUUGGGCUCCGUCCCCCCGGGGACGGGCCCGAAAGGCAGCGGCGGCACCGAGUCCGGUCCUCGAGCGUAUGGGGCUUUGUCACCCGCUCUGUAGGCCCGGCCGGCGCCAGCCGACAACCCAUCAUCCUUUUCAGGUUGACCUCGGAUCAGGUAGGGAUACCCGCUGAACUUAAGCAUAUCAAUAAGCGGAGGA